UUUUAACCCAUUACUGUCUUUAAAAUGUUCACUUUGCCUUUGCUUUUAUGCAAUGUCAUUGUAAUAGGUUUGCGUCUUCGUUACUUAUUUAUCCUGUCUGAAUGUGUUGGGCUUCCCUAAUCUUAAAAUUGUUCUUGCCUAUCAGUUAUUAUAGACAAUGAGAAGAGGGGUGAACAGAGCUGGAGACUAUUGACCUCCUCAAAGUUCAAGAAGAGGCAUUUGGAAAAUGUUGUUUUUGGUAACAUGCAAAGGAUAUGACUAAAGGAUUGAGAAGGGAGAAGAGUGCCAUAAAAGAAGUGGCACGGCCAUAGGAAGGCCAUGACCAGACAACUCACACAUGCGCAGGAGGAAACCAGCUGUGGGAGGGCAGAGCCUGUCAUUUUGUCUCCAGUGGGACUGAGACCAGCACUGAAGGAACCACAGCCCUGAAAUAAUAGGAGGCUUUAGGAACCAGUGGGAGCACUAAGAAAUUUGACCUCACCAUCUACAUGCUGGGAGGUGACUGAGCCAAACUUCCCAACCAGUGACCUUUCCAGAGAAGUAUACAACCCAAAGUGGGAUGAAUUGUCAUCAAAUUUCAUACAUUGGAAUUAACUGACGGUUUGAUUUAGUGGAAUACUGGAAUAAAAAGGCAAUCAUUCUUUUA
Heterocephalus glaber (naked mole-rat) is the source of this 646-nucleotide non-coding RNA. The record is from RefSeq and is a predicted model, not a curated record. Lineage: Eukaryota; Metazoa; Chordata; Mammalia; Rodentia; Bathyergidae.